CUCUGUUUUGGGCAUCUGUGUCUUGCUUUGCUUUCUCUUCCUUUUGCUUUUUCACUUCAGCUAACUGAUGGUAUAAUCUUAGAGCACUUUGGUGUAUAUG
Molecule: long non-coding RNA, 100 nt
Organism: Balaenoptera musculus (blue whale)
Lineage: Eukaryota; Metazoa; Chordata; Mammalia; Artiodactyla; Balaenopteridae
Exons: 4
Source: RefSeq, a predicted model, not a curated record